AAUGCGUAGAUAUGCGGGGAACACCGAUGCGAAGGCAAUCCCCUGGGCCUGCACUGACGCUCAUGCACGAAAGCGUGGGGAGCAAACAGGAUUAGAUACCUGGUAGUCCAUAACGAAGCUAACGCGUGAAGUUGACCGCCUGGGGAGUACGGCCGCAAGGUUGAAACUCAAAGAAUACACCCGCACAAGCGGUGGAUGAUGUGGUUUAAUUCGAUGCAACGCGAAAAACCUUACCCACCUUUGACAUGUACGGAACAGAGGUGCAGGUGCUGCAUGGCUGUCGUCAGCUCGUGUCGUGAGAUGUUGGGUUAAGUCCCGCAACGAGCGCAACCCUUGCCAUUAGUUGCUACGAAGGGCACUCUAAUGGGACUGCCGGUGACAAACCGGAGGAAGGUGGGGAUGACGUCAAGUCCUCAUGGCCCUUAUAGGUGGGGCUACACACGUCAUACAAUGGCUGGU
RNAcentral lists this ribosomal RNA (459 nucleotides) under bacterium. RNAcentral's name for it is "bacterial SSU rRNA". It matches the Rfam family "Bacterial small subunit ribosomal RNA", at positions 685 to 1238 of the family's 1533-position model. The record is from RNAcentral.